Molecule: long non-coding RNA, 570 nt
Filed under: Nicotiana benthamiana
Lineage: Eukaryota; Viridiplantae; Streptophyta; Magnoliopsida; Solanales; Solanaceae
Description: long non-coding RNA (NBEN_LNC015331)
Source: RNAcentral
CUUGCUCUUGGGGAGACUCGAACUCACAACCUCUCGGUUGAAAAUGGGGGUUGCUUACCAUCAUAUCAACCCCUCUUGUCUAUUGUUGAGCUGAAUUUUAAGUGAAUGAUAAGUAUUAAUCAUUAAUUAGGGCCUAAUUAAAACUUUCCAGAACCAGCAUUAUGUAGUAAAUAAGAAGCAUUAUGUAGUAAAUAAGAAAGAUAAGAUACCACCAUUACUAUUACCUUCAUUUAGGAUUUGGAUAACAGCGUGAGUCUCAGUACAGUCUUUCCUCCUCAAAACGAUAAUCAAUCUAAGAGGACUAUCCAGACAAUGAAAUUCAGAGGUAAUCCCUUGAUUUUCGAGGAUCAUUAGAGCAUCUAACUAGUGGUCAAUCUCCAUGCCAAACCUAGCUCGAUCUUAGACAACUCGGACCACAUUGAUGAACAUCGCCAAUGCACUAUGAAACCAACAUAUACUAAGAAUUAUGUUACAACUAUUUGGAUUGCAACUCUAAUUUCUUAUAUUGUGUCGGCCAACUAAUUUUGUUAACCAGAAGUGGAAAAGGAAAAUCUUACAACUAACAUCAAC